Molecule: ribosomal RNA, 462 nt
Filed under: uncultured bacterium
Lineage: Bacteria
Description: bacterial SSU rRNA
Rfam family: Bacterial small subunit ribosomal RNA
Source: RNAcentral
CGGCGUGCCUAACACAUGCAAGUCGAGCGAGGAGAGUCCUUCGGGAUGAUCCUAGCGGCGGACGGGUGAGUAACACGUGGGCAACCUGCCUCAUAGAGAGGAAUAGCCUUCCGAAAGGGAGAUUAAUACCUCAUAACAUUGCAGUUUCGCAUGGAACAGCAAUUAAAGGAGCAAUCCGCUAUGAGAUGGGCCCGCGGCGCAUUAGCUAGUUGGUGAGGUAACGGCUCACCAAGGCGACGAUGCGUAGCCGACCUGAGAGGGUGAUCGGCCACAUUGGGACUGAGACACGGCCCAGACUCCUACGGGAGGCAGCAGUGGGGAAUAUUGCACAAUGGGGGAAACCCUGAUGCCAGCAACGCCGCGUGAGUGAUGACGGCCUUCGGGUUGUAAAGCUCUGUCUUCAGGGACGAUAAUGACGGUACCUGAGGAGGAAGCCACGGCUAACUACGUGCCAGCCGCCGC